AAGGAUUUAAGUUAAACAAACUAUUAACCUUCAAAGUUAAAAUUACUAAAAAAGUAAGCCUUA
Molecule: transfer RNA, 63 nt
Filed under: Limois sp. WW-2021a
Lineage: Eukaryota; Metazoa; Arthropoda; Insecta; Hemiptera; Fulgoridae
Description: tRNA-Trp
Source: RNAcentral